AUACUUACCUGACAGGGGAGACACCAUGAUCACGAAGGUGGUUUUCCCCAGGCAAGGCUUAUCCAUUGCACUUCGGAUGUGCUGACCCCUGCGAUUUCCCCAAAUGUGGAAAACUCGACUGCAUAAAUUGUGGUAGUGCGUUUGCACUCA
RNAcentral lists this small nuclear RNA (150 nucleotides) under Echinops telfairi (small Madagascar hedgehog). RNAcentral's name for it is "U1 spliceosomal RNA (ENSETEG00000020520.1)". It matches the Rfam family "U1 spliceosomal RNA". From Rfam's summary of the family: U1 is a small nuclear RNA (snRNA) component of the spliceosome (involved in pre-mRNA splicing). Its 5' end forms complementary base pairs with the 5' splice junction, thus defining the 5' donor site of an intron. There are significant differences in sequence and secondary structure between metazoan and yeast U1 snRNAs, the latter being much longer (568 nucleotides as compared to 164 nucleotides in human). Lineage: Eukaryota; Metazoa; Chordata; Mammalia; Afrosoricida; Tenrecidae. The record is from RNAcentral.